AGUUUAAUUGAAUGUAUGUGAUCAGAAACAUACUGAACCAAUCUGUUGAUAAGGCAGGGCCCGAUAGUUAUUAGGGCGAGAAGGAUAAUUAGUGGGCCUGCUAGAGUGGAUAACAAAGUUAUCACCCAAGGAGAAAAGUUAAACCAUUUUUGAAACCAAUUUUGCUGUGACUGUCUCCACUUCUCCCUGUCAAUCAGUCUCUGUUUUAUUUCUGCCAUAUUUUGUCUUAUAAUUCCGGAAUGAUUUGUAUAUAAACAACAUUUUUCUCCCAAGGCCAAGCAUAGUCCUCUUUUUUUAAUAA
This is a long non-coding RNA of Octodon degus (degu), 301 nucleotides long. RefSeq lists it as uncharacterized. NCBI's taxonomy places the organism in Eukaryota, Metazoa, Chordata, Mammalia, Rodentia, Octodontidae. The record is from RefSeq and is a predicted model, not a curated record. The transcript has 3 exons.